Long non-coding RNA from Girardinichthys multiradiatus, 429 nucleotides. RefSeq lists it as uncharacterized. The record is from RefSeq and is a predicted model, not a curated record. Lineage: Eukaryota; Metazoa; Chordata; Actinopteri; Cyprinodontiformes; Goodeidae. The transcript is spliced from 3 exons.
GGAGAGACACGGAGAGAUUUUGCUCUAUAAUAAGCUGCGGGUCAUAGAAGUCAACAUCAACAGGUCUGAUUAGCUAUUAUUCACAAGUUAUACAUCUAGAACCACUUUCUGGAUUCUGCAAUCAGGAUCUUAACAACGCCUCUGAAAGCAGCCAGUGACUGAGGAGAAGAAUGCCCACAAUGAGAUAGGAAUGAAGAUAUAACUCGCUUUGAGAACACAGCCAACCACCACAAGUUUUACAAAUCAGAGAAAGAUCUGAUAGUUAAAACAACCUAAAUCCUACCUACUGGUUGGAAAACAGGCUCCCAUACUUCACUGCGGAGAGUCCUCUUCAAAGAAUGAUGCUGCUGUCUAGGUGUUCAGGUGGCUUUCGGCUAUCCUACAGUAAGCUGUCAUGUACCUUAUGAUCACAAAUAGCUGCUAUCUGAC